UGGUAGCAAUACCGAAGAAAGUCUAGUGGCGAACGGGUGCGUAACACGUGGGCAAUCUGCCUUAAAGUGGGGGAUAGCUCGGCGAAAGCCGGAUUAAUACCGCAUGUGAUUACUGGAGACAUCUUCGGAACAUCAAAGUCGGGGCAACCUGACGCUUUUUGAGGAGCCCGCGGCCUAUCAGCUAGUUGGUGAGGUAACGGCUCACCAAGGCUUUGACGGGUAGCUGGUCUGAGAGGACGACCAGUCACACUGGAACUGAGACACGGUCCAGACACCUACGGGUGGCAGCAGUCGAGAAUUUUUCUCAAUGGGGGAAACCCUGAAGGAGCGACGCCGCGUGGAGGAUGAAGGUCUUCGGGUUGUAAACUCCUGUCAUUUGGGAACAAUGCUUACGUAUUAACUGUACGUGAGUUGAUAGUACCAGAAGAGGAAGAGACGGCUAACUCUGUGCCAGCAGCCGCGGUAAUACAGAGGUCUCAAGCGUUGUUCGGAUUCAUUGGGCGUAAAGGGUGUGUAGGUGGCGCGCUAAGUCGGGUGUGAAAUUUCGGAGCUUAACUCCGAAACUGCAUUCGAUACUGGCGUGCUUGAGGACUGGAGAGGAGACUGGAAUUCACGGUGUAGCA
This 623-nucleotide ribosomal RNA is filed under the name uncultured Verrucomicrobiota bacterium. RNAcentral describes it as "bacterial SSU rRNA". It matches the Rfam family "Bacterial small subunit ribosomal RNA", at positions 74 to 680 of the family's 1533-position model. Lineage: Bacteria; Pseudomonadati; Verrucomicrobiota. The record is from RNAcentral.